CGUCGGCUUCCUCGCGACGGUUAAUUGUGAAUUCCGCCAGGCCUGGAAGGGAGCAACGGUAGCGAUGAUACUGGGUGCCGAGGAGCGGCUGGCGCGG
RNAcentral lists this signal recognition particle RNA (97 nucleotides) under Gammaproteobacteria bacterium. RNAcentral's name for it is "signal recognition particle sRNA small type". It matches the Rfam family "Bacterial small signal recognition particle RNA". Rfam says of the family: The signal recognition particle (SRP) is a universally conserved ribonucleoprotein involved in the co-translational targeting of proteins to membranes. Archaeal SRP consists of a 7S RNA and homologues of the eukaryotic SRP19 and SRP54 proteins. In most bacteria, the SRP consists of a 4.5S RNA and the Ffh protein (a homologue of the eukaryotic SRP54 protein). The record is from RNAcentral. Lineage: Bacteria; Pseudomonadati; Pseudomonadota; Gammaproteobacteria.